CCUACGGGUGGCAGCAGUAGGGAAUCUUUCACAAUGGGCGAAAGCCUGAUGGAGCAACGCCGCGUGCAGGAUGAAGGCCUUCGGGUUGUAAACUGCUUUUAUAAGCGAGAAAUAUGAUGGUAACUUAUGAAUAAGGAACGGCUUACUACGUGCCAGCAGCCGCGGUCAUACGUAGGAUCCGAGCAUUAUCCGGAGUGACUGGGUGUAAAGAGUUGCGUAGGUGGGAUAAUAAGUGUCUAGUGAAAUCUGGUGGCUCAACCAUUCAGACUAUUAGCUAAACUGUUAAGCUCGAGAGCGUUAGGGGUAACUGGAAUGUCUGGUGUAGGGGUGAAAUGCGUAGAUAUUAGAAAGAACACCGAUAGCGUAGGCAGGUUACUGGGACGGUACUGACGCUGAGGCACGAAAGCGUAGGGAGCAAACGGGAUUAGAUACCCGGGUAGUC
Molecule: ribosomal RNA, 442 nt
Filed under: uncultured bacterium
Lineage: Bacteria
Description: partial 16S ribosomal RNA
Rfam family: Bacterial small subunit ribosomal RNA
Source: RNAcentral